This 30-nucleotide non-coding RNA is filed under the name Mus musculus (house mouse). Lineage: Eukaryota; Metazoa; Chordata; Mammalia; Rodentia; Muridae. The record is from RNAcentral.
UGAGCUCACACGACCAUUUAUGUGUCUUAA